GGAUAAAAGGUACUCCGGGGAUAACAGGCUGAUACCGCCCAAGAGUUCAUAUCGACGGCGGUGUUUGGCACCUCGAUGUCGGCUCAUCACAUCCUGGGGCUGAAGUAGGUCCCAAGGGUAUGGCUGUUCGCCAUUUAAAGUGGUACGCGAGCUGGGUUUAGAACGUCGUGAGACAGUUCGGUCCCUAUCUGCCGUGGGCGCUGGAGAAUUGAGGGGGGCUGCUCCUAGUACGAGAGGACCGGAGUGGACGCAUCACUGGUGUUCGGGUUGUCAUGCCAAUGGCACUGCCCGGUAGCUAAAUGCGGAAGAGAUAAGUGCUGAAAGCAUCUAAGCACGAAACUUGCCCCGAGAUGAGUUCUCCCUGAGACUUUAAGUCUCCUGAAGGAACGUUAAAGACGAUGACGUUGAUAGGCCGGGUGUGUAAGCGCAGCGAUGCGUUGAGCUAACCGGUACUAAUGAACCGUGAGGCUUAACCUU
RNAcentral lists this ribosomal RNA (477 nucleotides) under Klebsiella pneumoniae. Its description in RNAcentral is "partial 23S ribosomal RNA". It matches the Rfam family "Bacterial large subunit ribosomal RNA", at positions 2454 to 2925 of the family's 2925-position model. Lineage: Bacteria; Pseudomonadati; Pseudomonadota; Gammaproteobacteria; Enterobacterales; Enterobacteriaceae. The record is from RNAcentral.